GACGAACGCUGGCGGCGUGCUUAACACAUGCAAGUCGAACGGAAAGGUCCUGCUCUUGUGGGGUGCUCGAGUGGCGAACGGGUGAGUAACACGUGAGUAACCUGUCUUUACUUUGGGAUAACAACAGGAAACAGGGGCUAAUACCGGAUAGGAGCUUCUGCUGCCUGGUGGGGGAUGGAUAGAUUCGGCGGUUGGGGUUGGACUGGCGGCUUAUCGGCUUGUUGGUGGGGUAGGGGAUUACCAAGGCUUUGACGGGUAGCCGGCCUGAGAGGGUGACCGGGCACAUGGGGACUGAGAGACGGCGCAGACUCCUACCGGACGCAGCAGUGGGGAAUAUGGCACAAUGGGCGGAAGCCAGAUGCAGCGACGCCGCGUGCGGGAUGACGGCCUUCGGGUGGUAAACCACUUUCGCCGUUGACAAAGCGUGAUUGACGGUAAUGGGUAAAAAAGCAACGGCUAACUACGUG
Molecule: ribosomal RNA, 467 nt
Filed under: uncultured bacterium
Lineage: Bacteria
Description: partial 16S ribosomal RNA
Rfam family: Bacterial small subunit ribosomal RNA
Source: RNAcentral